GAUGAACGCUGGCGGCGUGCCUAAUACAUGCAAGUCGAGCGAACAGACGAGGAGCUUGCUCCUCUGACGUUAGCGGCGGACGGGUGAGUAACACGUGGCUAACCUACCUAUAAGACUGGGAUAACUUCGGGAAACCGGAGCUAAUACCGGAUAAUAUAUUGAACCGCAUGGUUCAAUAGUGAAAGGCGGUUUUGCUGUCACUUAUAGAUGGAUCCGCGCCGCAUUAGCUAGUUGGUAAGGUAACGGCUUACCAAGGCGACGAUGCGUAGCCGACCUGAGAGGGUGAUCGGCCACACUGGAGCUGAGACACGGUCCAGACUCCUACGGGAGGCAGCAGUAGGGAAUCGUCCGCAAUGGGCGAAAGCCUGACGGAGCAACGCCGCGUGAGUGAUGAAGGUCUGCGGAUCGUAAAACUCUGUUAUGAGGGAAGAACAAAUGUGUAAGUAACUAUGCACGUCUUGACGGUACCUAAUCAGAAAGCCACGGCUAACUACGUG
This 497-nucleotide ribosomal RNA is filed under the name uncultured bacterium. RNAcentral's name for it is "partial 16S ribosomal RNA". It matches the Rfam family "Bacterial small subunit ribosomal RNA", at positions 28 to 507 of the family's 1533-position model. The record is from RNAcentral.